This 197-nucleotide non-coding RNA is filed under the name Sanguibacteroides justesenii. The record is from RNAcentral. Lineage: Bacteria; Pseudomonadati; Bacteroidota; Bacteroidia; Bacteroidales; Porphyromonadaceae. RNAcentral also lists the same sequence under 1 other name.
UUACUUUUGUGCCGUUUUGGUGCGAUACCUCUUUUCUUGAGGUGAAACAGAAUAGGGAAUCCGGUGUGAAUCCGGAACUGUACCCGCAGCUGUAAGUUCCUGUAAAAGAAUUUUGUACUUCAAUGUCACUGGUUGAAACCGGGAAGGCGGCAAAAUUCGGAACAAGUCAGAAGACCUGCCAAAGCACGUAAACCAUA